AUGCCUGCCCCCAGAGGGCGCUCUUUGUUAGGAGAGGUCUUAUCACUCGGUUUCUCUGGUUCUGGAAGCAGAGAGGAAGCACCUGGGUUAUCUAGAGCACUGUGGGGUGUGCCUGUGGCUCUUGAUUGCAAGUGGAAGAAAGCAGUCUGCAAAACGCCACUUAAGCUUCAAAGAGCUAUUGAAGCCUUGUGUCCCUGGAAGGCUAUUUUCAUUUUAAGGAAAGGCUUGUGGAACAGGAGGAAUUCCAUUAAUAGACUUCAGUCUGAAAGAAAUUAACCCCCUGGAUUAUUCCUCACUAUGGCACCAAGAAGAAACCACAGGUCUCCCUGUCCAUCUCAACCGCCUUCUCCCCCAAGAGCCUCUGAGAGCCAGUUUGAGGUAUGACUGACAUUAUAAAUUUUUCUAAUGCAAUUGAAAUGGAACAAAACCAUAACAUCAAAAUACUCUCCAAACCCAAUCUGACCCAACCUGAUAUUUCACUUGGUUUGAGUCCCUGGUGUAAAAAAAAAAUUUUUUUGAGUCAUACUUUGAAUGCACUGUAGAGUUCUGCUAUUUCAAAAAGAAAUUCUAUAGUGAAUGCUUAGAAAAACAUUUUUGUGAAAUGAAUUCUCUUCCUCCGAUCUGCUUGUUUUGAAAACAUCUGUUUGGGAAUCUGAUUUGCUUGAAGAAUCUGGCUCUUGGUAGGCUUUGAUAUGAGGAUGAGGCAAAGCUUGGUAUAGCUGAUGCUGUUUUGGCUCCUAGCAUCUACAACUACAUCAACAUGACGAUCUUGCUGAAGUGGUUAAAUUAGAAUUUGUGUAUGCAAUUUGGAUCAUAAAUGGGGUGAUUUAACCUUUUUUUACAAAGACAUCUGAGCCGGCGCCGCGGCUCACUAGGCUAAUCCUCUGCCUUGCGGCGCUGGCACACCGGGUUCUAGUCCCGGUCGGGGCGCCGGAUUCUGUCCCGGUUGCCCCUCUUCCAGGCCAGCUCUCUGCUGUGGCCAGGGAGUGCAGUAGAGGAUGGCCCAAGUGCUUGGGCCCUGCACUCCAUGGGAGACUAGGAGAAGUACCUGGCUCCUGCCAUCAGAUCAGCAUGGUGUGCCGGCCGCAGUGCGCCGGCCGCGGCAGCCAUUGGCGGGUGAACCAACGGCAUAGGAAGACCUUUCUCUCUGUCUCUCUCUCUCUCACUUUCCACUCUGCCUGUCAAAAAAAAAAAAAAAAAAAAAGACAUCUGGAGAAGUUGACAUUUUAUGCUUUCCACACUUAGAAAUCUUAGGAACUUGAAGAAGCCAAAAUUAUCCCAUUCGUUUUGUGUGCAUCAGGGCUGCGCUGCUCCUGUCUCUCUCACCACGGGCACACCAGCAGCAUUUCUGGAGAGAAACCUCCACCAAAGGGCAGGCGACUGGGCUGUCUCUAUACCUCACCCUGGGAGAGCUGUGCAUCCUUUAGAGAACUUGCUGUCUCCAGCUCCCCAGCCCUUCUCAUGGAAGCAAAAUAGCACCUUCAUUUUUUCCUAAUAAAAUGAAAAAGAACCCUGUAAGUCA
This 1522-nucleotide long non-coding RNA is filed under the name Oryctolagus cuniculus (rabbit). Its description in RNAcentral is "lncRNA (ENSOCUG00000033492.1)". Lineage: Eukaryota; Metazoa; Chordata; Mammalia; Lagomorpha; Leporidae. The record is from RNAcentral.